This 1375-nucleotide long non-coding RNA is filed under the name Homo sapiens (human). RNAcentral's name for it is "non-protein coding lnc-MAP3K9-3:24". Lineage: Eukaryota; Metazoa; Chordata; Mammalia; Primates; Hominidae. The record is from RNAcentral.
AACACGAUUACUGGUCCACCUAGAAAUGCCGUGGAGCGAUUUAAGAGCCUCGGAAAUUUCCUUUAAGGUCAGGAGAGAAGCUGGUAACAGAUGGGGCGAAGGAGGAAAAGUUCUUUUUGCGGCACCCUCACGCCUUCCCAGCCCUUUCGCGGUUUACUCGCUCCCCGGAAAGCAGACUAGUCUCACUCUGUUGCCCAGGCUGGAGUGCAGUGGCGCGAUCUCAGCUUACUUCAGCCUCCGCCUCCCGGUUUCAAGUGAAUUCUCCAGCCUCAACUUCACAAGUAGCUGGGAUUACAGGGCAUUCAAGCAGCCCUGAGGAGAGGUCCACAUGGUGAGCCACUGAGGGCCUUGCCAAGAGCCAGCACCAACGGUCCAGGUUUGGAGUGUACCACCUUGGAAGUGAAUCUUCCAGUCCAGUCAAGCCUUCAGAUGACUUCAGAACCGUCCAUGUAAGCCACUCUUGGAUUCCUGACCCACAGAAACUGUUGGAGCUGCCAAUUUGCAGGAAAUAGAGGAGAGAAGCAUCUGUUGAACUGCACCAUGAGUAUACACUCAGCAAAGGCCAAACUGUGGAAAAUGAUACAGGUCAAACAGCCUGGAUUCUUUAACAGACGGAGUCUCACUCUGUCACCCAGCCUGAAGUGCAAUGGUACAAUCUCAGCUCACUGCAACCUCCGCCUCCCGGGCUCAAGCAAUUCUCCUGCCUCAGCCUCCUGAAUAGCUGGGAUUACAGGCACGCGCCACCACGCCCAGCUAAUUUUUGUAUUUUUAGUAGAGACGGGGUUUCACCAUGUUGCCCAGGCUGGUCUUGAACUCCUGACCUCAGGUGAUCCACCCACCUCAGCCUCCCAAAGUGCUGGGAUUACAGGCAUGAGCCACCGUGCCUGGCCUUUUGUAUCUGUUUUAUUUUUUAAAUAAUAAGAUUAAAAAUAAAUAUUCUGCAUGAUUAAACAAAUACAGAUUUAAAUUUUUACAGUCCAAUUGAGUGAUUUCCUCAUGUUCCAAAACCAGGAAGUAGGUGUGGGACAUCUAUCUCCGUAUUGCAUACACAGUCUGGAUUCUAGUUGUAGACUCCAUAUGGGCUGUCAUACACGCUACUACAGAAAUGAGAGAAAUCCUUGGGAAAUGGAACCAUCUCACACAUGAGAGACAUCUCUGACAACUUAUUCAUAACUGAAUACUUCUCAUUUAUCUUUACCAGUAAGUGAUGUUUCUGAAGCACCAAUGAAAAUGAAGUCCUGAAGUCCUGUGCUCAAUAUGAAAUGUUGGAAGUUAGAAGAAAAAAACAAAACUUGGAUCCAAUCUCAAGGCACUUUUUGUUUAAUGGGAAGAAGUGGAUUAUUUUAAAAGCUACAAAUAAAGUUACAUAAAAGUA